GAUGAACGCUGGCGGCGUGCCUAAUACAUGCAAGUCGAGCGAACAGAUGAGGAGCUUGCUCCUCUGACGUUAGCGGCGGACGGGUGAGUAACACGUGGAUAACCUACCUAUAAGACUGGGAUAACUUCGGGAAACCGGAGCUAAUACCGGAUAAUAUAUUGAACCGCAUGGUUCAAUAGUGAAAGACGGUUUUGCUGUCACUUAUAGAUGGAUCCGCGCCGCAUUAGCUAGUUGGUAAGGUAACGGCUUACCAAGGCAACGAUGCGUAGCCGACCUGAGAGGGUGGUCGGCCACACUGGAACUGAGACACGGUCAAGACUCCUACGGGAGGCAGCAGUAGGGAAUCUUACGCAAUGGGCGAAAGCCUGACGGAGCAACGCCGCGUGAGUGAUGAAGGUCUUCGGAUCGUAAAACUCUGUUAUUAGGGAAGAACAAAUGUGUAAGUAACUAUGCACGUCUUGACGGUACCUAAUCAGAAAGCCACGGCUAACUACGUG
RNAcentral lists this ribosomal RNA (497 nucleotides) under uncultured bacterium. Its description in RNAcentral is "partial 16S ribosomal RNA". It matches the Rfam family "Bacterial small subunit ribosomal RNA", at positions 28 to 507 of the family's 1533-position model. The record is from RNAcentral.